CUUGAUCUGCACACUUUACGUGCCUAUAGGGGGUCAACUAGCAGAUAUUUUAACGAAAGGGCUAGCAAGUACCAUAUUCCAAGCAAUCAUGAGCAAGCUGGGAAUGGAAAAUAUCUAUUCACGAGCUUGAGGAGGAGUUGUGGAAUUCCGGGUUUAUGGAUGAUUGUAGGAUGAAAUUAGAAGAUAUUAUAGGCUGUAAUUAGAGAUUUGCUAGCUGUAAAUAGCUGUAGAUUAUUUUUCUAUAGAUAGAAGAUAGUUUCCUCUCUUGUGGGAUCUGAUAGAGUUUUUUAAGGAAUUAUCAGGCUGUUGGUAAUCUCCUAUUUCCCUAUAAAUGUAUAUUUCUGCAGAGUAAAUAAUAUGAAAGAAAAUUCUCACAAUUUUCUUCAUGGUAUCAGAGCAAUUCCGCCUAGACGUAUCACUUCUUUCUCGGUUUUAAUCCAGAACCAAUUUUCUGGGUGCAAACCAAUC
This 468-nucleotide long non-coding RNA is filed under the name Vitis vinifera (wine grape). RNAcentral describes it as "long non-coding RNA (VVIN_LNC007390)". The record is from RNAcentral. Lineage: Eukaryota; Viridiplantae; Streptophyta; Magnoliopsida; Vitales; Vitaceae.